UUGAAAACCUUUCACUUCUCACAUCUUAACCCUAACUAUUCAUCUCUCCUUCAUCUUACUAAGUUCUGGGAAGUGAUUCAGAAAAUCAUGGAUUUCAAUGUCAGAUCUUCAAUUCGUUUCCCGUGCAUUGCUCAUAAAUAAUUUUGCUUGCUUAAUUUUCUCUACUCACCGGCCUUCAAUGAUGUUUAAUUCCUUCUUCUCGUUGCCGAUUUAAUUGAGAUUAAAGAUGCAAAACUUAUAAAGGAGCUGGCAGAAACAGAUGCUGUGAAUUAUGGACUCAUAAAGCGAGUUUAUAAUUCAUCAGUUGAUAUUAGCAAGUUCUUAGAUCAAUAUGAGAUGUCCAAGCUUACGGAAGGGCCAUAUGUGAAAGGGGGUUCGUGAAUAUGGUGCGUGAAAAUAAUGAGUAUGCUGGAAGGGUUGUUAGCAAACCUAGCCAAAUCCGCCCAUCAGUAUGUUCGUGGAGCUGCCCAAGUCAGGGAAGGGUCAAGGUAAACUGCUAUGCCCAUUUAAGUGUUAAAACUGGCUUGGGGGCUGUAAUCAGAAAUGAUUAAGGGAUUAUUGUUGUUGCUGCAGUGAGGCAGGAGGGUUCUGGGUGGGAUGUAGGGUGUGUAAAAGUUGCUUCCUGUCAAUAUGGUCUGCUUGUGGCGAAGAGGUUGGGAUACUCUGAUGUUCAGCUUGAAAGUGAUGCCUUGAAUGUGGUGAAUGCUGUCCGAAACAAUGCCAAAGGAUUUUCCCUUGUGUUUCUCCUGUAUGAUGAUAUUUGUAGGCUUUCUUCCAGUUUUAGAUCGUUUUUAGUUUCUCAUGUAAAGCGGUCGGGUAAUACUCUAUCUCAUAAUGUCACUAGAUGGGAGACUAGAGGUUGUGACGAAUUUGUAUCUUUAGGUCCUUUUCCUCAAACUUUAUUGACUUGGUGGAAAUUGAUCUUCUUUAAUAUAUUUUUCCCACUACUUGCCCUAAAAAAAA
This is a long non-coding RNA of Chenopodium quinoa (quinoa), 963 nucleotides long. RefSeq lists it as uncharacterized. NCBI's taxonomy places the organism in Eukaryota, Viridiplantae, Streptophyta, Magnoliopsida, Caryophyllales, Amaranthaceae. The transcript has 3 exons. The record is from RefSeq and is a predicted model, not a curated record.